Lycium barbarum (goji berry) is the source of this 2084-nucleotide long non-coding RNA. RefSeq lists it as uncharacterized. The record is from RefSeq and is a predicted model, not a curated record. The transcript is spliced from 2 exons. Lineage: Eukaryota; Viridiplantae; Streptophyta; Magnoliopsida; Solanales; Solanaceae.
UCUAGCAAUUUUUUCUCACUUUCUUCAUUUGAACUCAUUUACUUAGUAACUCCAACGUCUAUUCAAUUCUCAAUUCUCCAUGCUUGAAAUUAGUUUAGUUUUGUUUGCUGUCUCUCGAAUUUUCUCAUCUAUUACUCUCUCUACAUACUUUAUAUAUGUAUUAAACCACAUUCAUCUAUUACCACUCAAUCAGUAAUUGUAGUUAAAUUCAAUUUGUUAGGAAAUAAUCAAUCAAACCUAUUUCUUAUUUGGAUUUGAUUUACCAUGAUUGUUUUUGAAGAUCUUGGUUUUUAAGCUAAUUGCUACUUUGAGUCUUUAGUGUUAGAGAACAUUUUUUUUUCCUAAUGUAAUUUAAUUCGAGCAUGAAGCGCCACAGCGCCAUCCACUAAGCAAUAUUCAAAGGCAUAGUAGUGCCCUACCAUGGUGGUGAUGAGUGGUUGGUGUUACGUGACAAAAGAGAAGUAGAACUUGAAGCAAAAAAAAAAAAAAAAAAAAAAGUAAUAACUUCUGUUAUAUAGCUAUUUUGUUUAAUUUUAUGAAAUUCUUGAUUUCGUCCGCUGCAUUUUAAGUUUAUUUCCUUAAGAGACGAAAAGGGAAGUCAAUUGUUUGACAAAUUGAAGUCUUAGUAGUAUGUGCACCCGAAUAAGUUGGGAUUGAGUCGUAGUUUAUUGAAAGUAUAAACUCCAAAAACCCAUGCAAAAGGGGAAGUUAUCUAGCUGAGCAUAUUUAGCUCUAUUGGCUCUUGGAUAUGUAGGCAAGUCCGAUGACCAUUAUUGUUUAACAUUCAUGAGUUGUUAUUCCUUUAUGGAAAGAAACUGACACAAAUAAAUACAGCUAUUAGAUGAUAUGUUAUCCUAAAGCUUGAUUGGAAAAACAACCUUUUGUGCUUUUCGCUAAACGCUACUGUCCGAGAGUAGUAUCCUCCCUCUCAAAGUCAAUAGUUUUCUUACUCUCUAUCUGGUUUCUCUUUUGAAAUAAAAAAUAAAAUUGUGUUGGUGCACUAUAUUGUGCUCACAGUGUAAUUCUUCAACUUGAGGUUUCUAAAUCUUCAAUGUCCUGUACCAACUAUGCUAUAUUUCAACUCUUGAACGUGGAUUCCCUCCUUUAUGGUUUAUUUCUUCAAGCAACUUUCAUAUUUUCUUAAUGAUAAUCGGUCUUAUCCAUAUAGGGACGUUUAGGUGUUUCUGUGUGUCAUCUUUUAUGUUCUGUUACUGUAUGAAAAAUUGAUAAUUCACGCACAUCUCAUAUGUUUGAUAUAGGUCACUCUAUGUAUGGAUUUACUAAUCAUAUCAAAUUCUAUAUCACCAUCGUGUACUUAAUUCAUUUUACUUAUUGUUGAGUAGAAAUGUGUCUUAUUUUCUUUCUGUUUUCCAAGUGCUCACAGCUAUUAAUGGAAUAUACUUUGAGAAAUGUUUGCGUCAUCUUUCCUUUAAACCUACAGUGAGGGAGAAAGUUGUUUAUACUGAAAAUUAUAGCAUCUUAGAUAAGCUAUCUGAUGCUGGAUUGUGGGUGUAGCAUACGGAAAGAAAAAAGUGCCGGUAGAAUUCAGGUCAUUUCCAUUAGUCGUUGUUAAGGCCCAGCGGUUAACUCUUACAAUAUUUGUUUGCAUGUUUUAUAUGAGAGCUACGAGCCUCUGACAUUUACUACAAUGGUUGUGGAUAAUGCAGGUGUGACAUAAGUGGUUGUUCAUACAAUACAACCGGUAUUGGUGCUGUGCUCCCAUUUUUACACCUCAAAGUUGAAACAGUGUUUUUCCAUUUCAUUCUUGCUCAAGAUCACUGCUCCAACUUUAAAUAUUGCUUCAAUUAUAGUUUAGCUGGAAGAUGCUCAAAAUGGUUUCAAAGUUCUUCUAAAACAUCAAUUAGCUAUUGUUGAUGAAGCACAAGGUCGCAAUGUUAUUUUGUCAGGGACUACAACAAAGGGGACAAACAACAAACGAGGCUGACUUCAUACUUUGAUUGAACUUUAAGUGGAUGCAUCACAUUUUGUUUCUGUGUAAAUAGGCAUCUUGUUUAUUCCUAGGCAUCUUGUACCAAAUUGCUUACUCUCCUUCAGGAUUCUUUAGGUUUUGAUAUACUGAGAAA